RNAcentral lists this microRNA precursor (115 nucleotides) under Paramuricea clavata. The record is from RNAcentral. Lineage: Eukaryota; Metazoa; Cnidaria; Anthozoa; Malacalcyonacea; Plexauridae.
ACGUUAUUUGGUGUAGAAAUUUCAAGACUUUAGCUAAAAGGGAAAUAUUGAAAUAUGUAUUUUUUAAAUAUUUUUCUUUUUGCAGAAGUCUUGAAAUUUCCACACCGAAUAGCAA